RNAcentral lists this ribosomal RNA (459 nucleotides) under uncultured bacterium. Its description in RNAcentral is "partial 16S ribosomal RNA". It matches the Rfam family "Bacterial small subunit ribosomal RNA", at positions 338 to 795 of the family's 1533-position model. The record is from RNAcentral.
CCUACGGGAGGCAGCAGUGAGGAAUAUUGGUCAAUGGGCGGGAGCCUGAACCAGCCAAGUCGCGUGAGGGAUGACGGUCCUAUGGAUUGUAAACCUCUUUUGCCCGGGGACAAAAGACUCCACGCGUGGCGGUCCGAAAGUACCCGAAGAAAAAGCGCCGGCUAACUCCGUGCCAGCAGCCGCGGUAAUACGGAGGACCCGAGCGUUAUCCGGAUUGAUUGGGUUUAAAGGGUGGGUAGGCGGAAGAUCAAGUCAGCGGUAAAAGCGCGAGGCUCAACCGCGUCCAGCGGUUGAAACUGGAUUUCUUGAGUGAACGAGAGGUAUGCGGAAUGCGUGGUGUAGCGGUGAAAUGCAUAGAUAUCACGAAGAACCCCGAUUGCGAAGGCAGCAUACCGGGGCGCGACUGACGCUGAUGCUCGAAAGUGCGGGUAUCAAACAGGAUUAGAUACCCUUGUAGUC